GAGAAGUUUUCGGAUGGAUCUCGGGAUCGUUUAGUGGCGGACGGGUGAGUAACACGUGAGCAACCUACCUUCGAGAGGGGAAUAACGGCUGGAAACGGUCGCUAAUACCGCAUAACAUACUGGAGGGACAUCCUUUUGGUAUCAAAGAUUUUAUCGCUCGGAGAUGGGCUCGCGUCCGAUUAGGUAGUUGGUGAGGUAACGGCUCACCAAGCCGACGAUCGGUAGCCGGACUGAGAGGUCGAACGGCCACAUUGGGACUGAGACACGGCCCAGACUCCUACGGGAGGCAGCAGUGGGGGAUAUUGCACAAUGGGGGAAACCCUGAUGCAGCGACGCCGCGUGUGGGAAGACGGUCCUCUGGAUUGUAAACCACUGUCCCCAGGGACGAAGAUGACGGUACCUGGGGAGGAAGCUCCAGCUAACUACGUGCCAGCAGCCGCGGUAAUACGUAGGGAGCGAGCGUUGUCCGGAAUUACUGGGUGUAAAGGGAGCGUAGGCGGGGCUGCAAGUUGGGUGUCAAAUCUACCGGCUCAACCGGUAGCCGCACUCAAAACUGCAGUUCUUGAGUGAAGUAGAGGCAGGCGGAAUUCCUAGUGUAGCGGUGAAAUGCGUAGAUAUUAGGAGGAACACCAGUGGCGAAGGCGGCCUGCUGGGCUUUUACUGGCGCUGAGGCUCGAAAGUGUGGGGAGCAAACAGGAUUAGAUACCCUGGUAGUCCACACCGUANACGAUGAUCACUAGGUGUGGGGGGUCUGACCCCUUCCGUGCCGGAGUUNACACAAUAAGUGAUCCACCUGGGGAGUACGGCCGCAA
RNAcentral lists this ribosomal RNA (812 nucleotides) under uncultured bacterium. RNAcentral describes it as "bacterial SSU rRNA". It matches the Rfam family "Bacterial small subunit ribosomal RNA", at positions 68 to 891 of the family's 1533-position model. The record is from RNAcentral.